AUUACUUUGGCAGAAUAGUGCCUUGAAUUUAGAAUUCAAAUAUGUAAAUUUUACAAGUAAUA
RNAcentral lists this transfer RNA (62 nucleotides) under Neohermes californicus. RNAcentral describes it as "tRNA-Leu". The record is from RNAcentral. Lineage: Eukaryota; Metazoa; Arthropoda; Insecta; Megaloptera; Corydalidae.